RNAcentral lists this ribosomal RNA (465 nucleotides) under uncultured bacterium. RNAcentral describes it as "partial 16S ribosomal RNA". It matches the Rfam family "Bacterial small subunit ribosomal RNA", at positions 28 to 507 of the family's 1533-position model. The record is from RNAcentral.
GACGAACGCUGGCGGCGUGCUUAACACAUACAAGUCGAACGGAAAGGCCCCUUCGGGGGUACUCGAGUGGCGAACAGGUGAGUAACACGUGAGUAACCUGCCCUUGACUUCGGGAUAACUUCAGGAAACUGGGGCUAAUACCGGAUAGGAAUCCUUGCUGCAUGGUGGGGGUUGGAAAGCUUCGGCGGUUUUGGAUGGACUCGCGGCUUAUCAGCUUGUUGGUGGGGUAGUGGCUUACCAAGGCUUUGACGGGUAGCCGGCCUGAGAGGGCGACCGGCCACAUUGGGACUGAGAUACGGCCCAGACUCCUACGGGAGGCAGCAGGGGGGAAUAUUGCACAAUGGGCGGAAGCCGGAUGCAGCAACGCCGCGUGCGGGAUGACGGCCUUCGGGUUGGAAACCGCUUUCAGCAGGGGCGAAGCUUGUGGUGACGGUACCUGCAGAAGAAGCACCGGCUAACUACGUG